Molecule: ribosomal RNA, 253 nt
Filed under: uncultured bacterium
Lineage: Bacteria
Description: partial 16S ribosomal RNA
Rfam family: Bacterial small subunit ribosomal RNA
Source: RNAcentral
GACGAACCUUGCUAACGUUAUUCGGAAUUACUGGGCGUAAAGCGUGCGCAGGCGGUGAUGUAAGACAGAUGUGAAAUCCCCGGGCUCAACCUGGGAACUGCAUUUGUGACUGCAUCGCUGGAGUGCGGCAGAGGGGGAUGGAAUUCCGCGUGUAGCAGUGAAAUGCGUAGAUAUGCGGAGGAACACCGAUGGCGAAGGCAAUCCCCUGGGCCUGCACUGACGCUCAUGCACGAAAGCGUGGGGAGCAAACAGG